This 253-nucleotide ribosomal RNA is filed under the name uncultured bacterium. Its description in RNAcentral is "partial 16S ribosomal RNA". It matches the Rfam family "Bacterial small subunit ribosomal RNA", at positions 524 to 776 of the family's 1533-position model. The record is from RNAcentral.
UACGUAGGAUCCGAGCGUUGUUCGGAUUCACUGGGCGUAAAGGGUGCGUAGGCGGUUGGACAAGUCUGAUGUGAAAUCCCGCAGCUUAACUGCGGAACUGCAUUGGAAACUGUCCGACUAGAGGAAUGGAGGGGAGACUGGAAUACUUGGUGUAGCAGUGAAAUGCGUAGAUAUCAAGUGGAACACCAGUGGCGAAGGCGAGUCUCUGGACAUUUCCUGACGCUGAGGCACGAAAGCCAGGGGAGCAAACGGG